AUGAGCACCGCCGAGGGCCCCCGAGGGUUGAUGGUGACGCCGUGGCCAUUAGGCCCUUGGGUGUUGCCUGCCGCGCCUGUCGAGGUGCCGAUGUGGUCGCCCGGCGGCUGCAGCGUAGAGGUGCGCGGUUGCUGGUCUUCCAGCGCCAUCAGUGGUGGCUGUGGCGCCGCCUGUAUGGCAGCCACUGUGUCGCUGAGAUCCGCGACGCGGCGCUCGAGAUCCAGGCGCCAGCUUAGCAGAUCGUCGAUCUUCGUCGCUGUGGUUUGUUGCGCCUUGGUGAGGCCAUCGAUGGGUGGCCUCGACCUUGGUCUCGAAGCGGGUGAGGAAGGCAGAGAUGCUGGGAUCCAUGGCUUCACGAGCUUGGCGGAGACCGCGCGUCACGAUGAGAUGCGCCAGGGCAGAGCAAAAAGGGGUGGUGGUUGGUGUCUCUAA
This 432-nucleotide ribosomal RNA is filed under the name Triticum aestivum (bread wheat). Its description in RNAcentral is "partial small subunit ribosomal RNA". Lineage: Eukaryota; Viridiplantae; Streptophyta; Magnoliopsida; Poales; Poaceae. The record is from RNAcentral.